RNAcentral lists this ribosomal RNA (1923 nucleotides) under human oral metagenome. RNAcentral describes it as "bacterial LSU rRNA". It matches the Rfam family "Bacterial large subunit ribosomal RNA", at positions 3 to 1977 of the family's 2925-position model. The record is from RNAcentral.
UCAAGUGAAUAAGUGCAUGUGGUGGAUGCCUUGGCGAUUACAGGCGAUGAAGGACGUUGUAGCCUGCGAAAAGCCGCGGGGAGCUGGCAAACAAGCUUUGAUCCGCGGAUGUCCGAAUGGGGAAACCCACCCGCAAGGGUAUCGCUGACUGAAUCCAUAGGUCAGCGAGGCGAACGUGGCGAACUGAAACAUCUAAGUAGCCACAGGAAAAGAAAUCAACCGAGAUUCCGAAAGUAGUGGCGAGCGAAAUCGGAGCAGCCUGUGCGUGAUAGUCGAUUGGCUAGUGGAACGGUAUGGAAAGGCCGGCCAUAGAGGGUGAUAGCCCCUUACACGAAAGCGAAUCGGUGGUACUGAGCGUACGACAAGUAGGGCGGGACACGUGUAAUCCUGUCUGAAGAUGGGGGGACCAUCCUCCAAGGCUAAAUACUCGUAAUCGACCGAUAGUGAACAAGUACUGUGAAGGAAAGGCGAAAAGAACCCCGGGAGGGGAGUGAAAUAGAUCCUGAAACCGCAUGCAUACAAACAGUCGGAGCCUCGCAAGGGGUGACGGCGUACCUUUUGUAUAAUGGGUCAGCGACUUACGUUCAGUGGCAAGCUUAACCAGAUAGGGGAGGCGCAGGGAAACCGAGUCCGAAUAGGGCGCCAUAGUCGCUGGGCGUAGACCCGAAACCAGGUGAUCUAUCCAUGGUCAGGAUGAAGGUUGGGUAACACCAGCUGGAGGUCCGAACCGACUAAUGUUGCAAAAUUAGCGGAUGAACUGUGGAUAGGGGUGAAAGGCUAAUCAAACUUGGAAAUAGCUGGUUCUCCCCGAAAACUAUUUAGGUAGUGCGUCAUGUAUUGCUCCAGGGGGUAGAGCACUGUAAUGGUUGUGGGGGCCAUCGCGGCUUACCACGCCAUAGCAAACUCCGAAUACCUGGAAGUAUGAGCAUGGCAGACAGUCGCCGGGUGCUAACGUCCGGCGGCAAGAGGGAAACAACCCAGACCUACAGCUAAGGUCCCAAAGUGUGGCUAAGUGGGAAACGAAGUGGGAAGGCUAAAACAGUCAGGAUGUUGGCUUAGAAGCAGCCAUCAUUUAAAGAAAGCGUAAUAGCUCACUGAUCGAGUCGUCCUGCGCGGAAGAUGUAACGGGGCUAAGCCAUGCACCGAAGCUUAGGCUGCACUCUCUGAGUGCGGGGUAGGGGAGCGUUCUGUAAGCCUGUGAAGGUGUCUCGUAAGGGAUGCUGGAGGUAUCAGAAGUGCGAAUGCUGACAUGAGUAGCGUUAAAGCGGGUGAAAAGCCCGCUCGCCGUAAGCGCAAGGUUUCCUACGCAACGUUCAUCGGCGUAGGGUGAGUCGGCCCCUAAGGUGAGGGCGAAAGCCAUAGCUGAUGGGAAGCUGGUUAAUAUUCCAGCACCGAUAUCCAGUGCGAUGGGGGGACGGAUCGUGGAAGGUUGUCCGGGUGUUGGAAGUCCCGGUUCCUGACCUGUAGGUGUCUGGUAGGUAAAUCCGCCAGGCGUAUGCCAAGGGGUUGGGACGAGCGAGCUUGCUCGCGAAGCAACUGGAAGUGGUUCCAAGAAAAGCCUCUAAGCUUCAGCUGGAUACGACCGUACCGCAAACCAACACUGGUGCGCGAGAUGAGUAUUCUCAGGCGCUUGAGAGAACUCGGGAGAAGGAACUCGGCAAAUUGACACCGUAACUUCGGAAGAAGGUGUGCCUUGGUAGCUUGAGUGUGAACAACACAAGGGCGAAGAGGUUGCAAAGAAUAGGUGGCUGCGACUGUUUAUUAAAAACACAGCACUCUGCAAACACGAAAGUGGACGUAUAGGGUGUGACGCCUGCCCGGUGCCGGAAGGUUAAGUGAUGGGGUGCAAGCUCUUGAUCGAAGCCCCGGUAAACGGCGGCCGUAACUAUAACGGUCCUAAGGUAGCGAAAUUCCUUGUCGGGU